UGGCUAACUCCUACGGGAGGCAGCAGCCGCGGUAAUACGUAGGGUGCAAGCGUUAAUCGGAAUUACUGGGCGUAAAGCGUGCGCAGGCGGUUGUGUAAGUCAGAUGUGAAAUCCCCGGGCUCAACCUGGGAAUUGCAUUUGAGACUGCACGGCUAGAGUGUGUCAGAGGGGGUAGAAUUCCACGUGUAGCAGUGAAAUGCGUAGAUAUGUGGAGGAAUACCGAUGGCGAAGGCAGCCCCCUGGGAUAACACUGACGCUCAUGCACGAAAGCGUGGGGAGCAAACAGGAUUAGAAACCCGGGUGUCCAGCUGG
RNAcentral lists this ribosomal RNA (312 nucleotides) under uncultured bacterium. RNAcentral's name for it is "bacterial SSU rRNA". It matches the Rfam family "Bacterial small subunit ribosomal RNA", at positions 494 to 803 of the family's 1533-position model. The record is from RNAcentral.